GAAGCAAGCCAGACAGCCGCUGGUCAGCGCGUAAUGCCUGACGGGAGGAAGGUCCGGACUCCAUAGAGCGGGGUGACGGUUAACGGCCGUCCGUUGAAAGCCUGCUGUGCCGUACCGGUACUUGUACUGGUGCGGUGCAGGGGUAUAAGGCGAGGAAUAGGGCCACAGAGACGAGCGUAUUAAGUUACGGUGAAACGCGGUAACCUCCACCUGGUGCAAUUCCAAAUAGGCACGCGAUGAUGUGGCUCGCGGAGCGUGCGGGUAGGAAGCUUGAGCGCCGGAGUAAUCCGGCGCCUAGAGGAAUGGCUGUCAUAGCGCAGGUUCGCCUGUGCCGUAACAAAAUCCGGCCUAUCGGCUUGCUUCAACU
This 367-nucleotide RNase P RNA is filed under the name Duganella fentianensis. RNAcentral describes it as "Bacterial RNase P class A". It matches the Rfam family "Bacterial RNase P class A". From Rfam's summary of the family: Ribonuclease P (RNase P) is a ubiquitous endoribonuclease, found in archaea, bacteria and eukarya as well as chloroplasts and mitochondria. Its best characterised activity is the generation of mature 5'-ends of tRNAs by cleaving the 5'-leader elements of precursor-tRNAs. Lineage: Bacteria; Pseudomonadati; Pseudomonadota; Betaproteobacteria; Burkholderiales; Oxalobacteraceae. The record is from Rfam by way of RNAcentral.